Molecule: ribosomal RNA, 589 nt
Filed under: uncultured Lactococcus sp.
Lineage: Bacteria; Bacillati; Bacillota; Bacilli; Lactobacillales; Streptococcaceae
Description: bacterial SSU rRNA
Rfam family: Bacterial small subunit ribosomal RNA
Source: RNAcentral
GUUUAAUUCGAAGCAACGCGAAGAACCUUACCAGGUCUUGACAUACUCGUGCUAUUCCUAGAGAUAGGAAGUUCCUUUCGGGACACGGGAUACAGGUGGUGCAUGGUUGUCGUCAGCUCGUGUCGUGAGAUGUUGGGUUAAGUCCCGCAACGAGCGCAACCCUUAUUGUUAGUUGCCAUCAUUAAGUUGGGCACUCUAGCGAGACUGCCGGUAAUAAACCGGAGGAAGGUGGGGAUGACGUCAAAUCAUCAUGCCCCUUAUGACCUGGGCUACACACGUGCUACAAUGGUUGGUACAACGAGUCGCAAGACAGUGAUGUCAAGCUAAUCUCUUAAAGCCAAUCUCAGUUCGGAUUGUAGGCUGCAACUCGCCUACAUGAAGUCGGAAUCGCUAGUAAUCGCGGAUCAGCACGCCGCGGUGAAUACGUUCCCGGGCCUUGUACACACCGCCCGUCACACCACGAGAGUUUGUAAUACCCAAAGCCGGUGAGCUAACCUUUUAGGAGGCAGCCGUCUAAGGUAGGAUAGAUGAUUGGGGUGAAGUCGUAACAAGGUAGCCGUAUCGGAAGGUGCGGCUGGAUCACCUCCUU